AGGUGUUUUUCCUCAAUGACACGUUUUCUCCCGGAUUGCUGACAACAGUGAACGCAACCGGGAACUUCGUGUCAGCCAAGAAUGACACCU
Molecule: non-coding RNA, 90 nt
Organism: Gasterosteus aculeatus (three-spined stickleback)
Lineage: Eukaryota; Metazoa; Chordata; Actinopteri; Perciformes; Gasterosteidae
Source: Rfam